This 1500-nucleotide long non-coding RNA is filed under the name Homo sapiens (human). RNAcentral's name for it is "non-protein coding lnc-NSMCE1-9:1". Lineage: Eukaryota; Metazoa; Chordata; Mammalia; Primates; Hominidae. The record is from RNAcentral.
AUGCACUCUCAAUCAUUCAUCCUGGGGCUGGUGACCCUUAGGCUCAGCCUCCACGGGUAUUGUGGCUCAUCUGGUUGGGAACCAGCACGGGCUCUACCCGAACUUUCCCCUCAACCCAGAUGAUGCUGAAGUCGGGCUUCACUGCUGUGGCCUCAGAUCUGACAGUGAGGACACUUCAAGUCCGAAUGUCAGUGAUGUCCUAGGAAAUUAUUUGCUGGGGCUUGUGGCUGCACUGGAUACACUUGCAAUAAUGAAAAGUUAAUUUGAGGUCCAGAAAGUGGUGAAGUCACUGAGCAAUACCGCUUUAUUUCACAGAGUCCAACUGCCAAGUAUUUGAAGCUGUAAUAGGGAUCCCAGAAAGUCUUCUACCUUACUGUAUAAUAAUAGUGGACCCAAAGCAGGGCAUUGGUGAUGUGACAGUUAAGAAUGAUGAUAAUGAAUUAUUGCACAUGGCUCAUGACCUGGCCAUGUGACUGCUCCUUGCUUUGAAACACUAAAACCCAAAUUCUUUAUCCUCUAAUCUAUAGGCAACAAUAGUGCCUAGCAGAAGCUGGCUCUCUGUGGGUGGAAUUUGGGAUUCUUAGCUAAUGCCUAGGGAAGUCUACAAGAAGCUCUUUGGAACCUCUGGAGCAAUAAUAUGGAAUUAUGAAGUCACAUGUGAACAUUCAGUUGGACUAUUGGGUUAGAAAGCACAGGGGCAUGGAUACUGGGCUGGAUUCCCUCAAAGAAUAUCUCUUGAAAUCUUUUUCUUUGGAGAAAGAGAAGACCUACACAUGCUUAAUCAGGAUAUUCAGACUUACUUAACGAAAGAUCAGGAGGACUGAAAGAACUAUGUCCAGUGGGCAGCUGAUAAACUCCUGAGUUGACUGUGCAAAGCUUAAUUCCCUGGGCUGAGGUUCUAAUAAGGGUUGGCAUUUUCCUCCACACUUUUUAUUCUGCUGUGUGGAAAAGAUGGAUAACCCUUCCGAGGAAGUUUAACUGGUGUCUCCAAGUCUCUGAUGUUUUCUUCUACCCACUGAGACCAAAGUUAGUGGAAUCUUUGUAUCUUCUCUAUCAGACAGCCAAGAAUCCCUUCUACCUUUAUGUGGGAAUGCAAGUUCUGCAGAACCAACAAACAAAAACCAAAAUCCAAUGUAGGUCUGCUCUGCUACAUUGUGGCAAAAGAAAAUCAAAGGAGAGUUUCUUUUUCAGGGAUAUAUUCAAAUACUUUUAUCUGCCAUUUACUGAAGAGACUCCAGCUCACAAACCUGGAAAGCAAUGCAUGUUGGCAAUUGAGACUUAUAUUAUCUGUGAACAAACAUCUGAGGAAAUCAUCAUGAAAGAGCUCCUCCUUUUCUAAAGAGGGAAGACAAGACCACAUGACAAACCUGUGCAAAGGCCUAAAUCUCAUUAAGUAACAGCUAUCACUCCCAGCUACAAUUGCAAUUGUGUUAUGACAAGAGAUACUCCUUGCCAUUCAAUAUUACCUACAUGAGACAGACUGAAUUAUUGCCUUAACUU